AAAUUGCAUACAAACAAGAAGAAAAAAAAUGUAAAAAUGAAAGUAUAUAAGCUGCUUGAAACAAGAAAAAUCAAGAAAAAUAUGAAAACUUAAACGUUAGGUAGUUGAUGUGUUAGAGUUAGUGAGAUAGUCGAUCAAGAAAGUAGGAUAAUUUGUUAUUUGGUUUCUAAUUAAAAUGACUGAAACAGUUAAAAAUGUGUGUUCACAGUAGUACCAACUAGAAAGACUCUUAGUGCACGAAUUUAUUAUAAGAUUAAGUGGUUUUUAAGGAUCAUUGUUUUAAAAUUUUGGAACGUUACUUAACCGCAAUGAUAUUUGGUAUGUGUGUGUGUUAUGAUCUUUGUUGUUUUCGCAGAAAGAAAACGAUGUGAAUGUUGUCAAGAGUACAAGGGUGUUGUA
Molecule: long non-coding RNA, 399 nt
Filed under: Brassica napus (rape)
Lineage: Eukaryota; Viridiplantae; Streptophyta; Magnoliopsida; Brassicales; Brassicaceae
Description: long non-coding RNA (BNAP_LNC016948)
Source: RNAcentral